This is a long non-coding RNA of Brassica rapa (field mustard), 1468 nucleotides long. RefSeq lists it as uncharacterized. NCBI's taxonomy places the organism in Eukaryota, Viridiplantae, Streptophyta, Magnoliopsida, Brassicales, Brassicaceae. The record is from RefSeq and is a predicted model, not a curated record.
CCCCCCCCCCCCCCCCCCCCCCCCCCCCUCUUUCUGAGAAAAAAUAUUGAAAUCUAAAAACAAUGGAGAUGAAAACAAAGAUUGUGUUUAUGGUCACCAUGUUGAUGAUCGGAAACCUUAUAGUUGAAUCGGAAGAUAUAAACAAAGAUUUUCAAAAAUGUUUCACUCUUUGUCUUAACAUAUGCAUCCUUGGUCCAGUACAUGAUAAAUUAGGAUGUUUCGGUAAAUGUGGUAAGUCAUGUGGGAGACAAUACGAAAUUGAUCGUGUUAAUUUUCGAUGGGUUUCGGCUCAAGAUCCUAAAAAGGAGAUCGAUGUGAAGAAGGCAAAAGACUGAUUGUAUUCAGGUUCGGAUACGGACGAUAAAAAAUUAUGAAGGCAAUAUUAAUUAUACAUAUUUUCCGUAUUUGAUGAUUUAAUAAAGAUACGUAUUAUUGGUUAUUUCAAUUUUAUAAUCAAUUCAAAUAAACUUUUGAUAACUGAUCAGUUUUGUCCAGUGUUCAAGAAAGCGUUAGACGCAAAGCGGUCAAUAACUCAACGCCUAGCGCCUAAAAUGAUUAAUUGGAUGUCUCAAUUAUUAAUUAGCUAGCCUAGACGUUUACCAAUUAUAACAAUAUGCUAAAUAUAUAUAGAAUAAUAGAUUGAAUAUCAUGAUUUACAAUUAAUAAUUUUCAUAUUAUUUAUUUUCAUAAGAUUUAUGAAAAACAUUGAAUCCUGCUUUUUAAUAAUUUUAUUUCAAAAUAUAUGAUAAAUCAAAUAAUUAACUAAAACACUAAAAUCAUUUACGAAAAUAUAUAACUUUUUAACAAUUUAUAAAUAAUAAAUUAUUUAUUAUUUAUUAUUAUCAUAUUAUAUUUAUCUGGGUGGUUUAUAAUAAAAUCACUACGGUUCAGGAGAGCCUGACGCCUAAAAUAAUUAUAGAGAACUGGUUUUAUUUAUAUUUUGCAUUCUCGGUUUUUUCCAUUAAAUGGUAUAAUGUGGCACAUCCAUUGUUUAAUAUAAGAAAAUUUAUUAGGGUGAUCUGCCAAACGCCUAAAGAUCAUUUCAUUCAAAAAAAUUUCGUCUACAUUUUUUUUAUCAAAAUUUCGUCUACAUGUGGAAGCACCGUAGCUUAUUGGUUAAGGUUUAAAAGCUUCUACACCCAGGACUGGGGUUCGAAUCUUAGACUAUGUAAUUUAUUGCAGAUUACAUGAAAUCCAGGUUUCAAGUCCCGGAGAAAGCGGUUUAUUAAACAAUUAUGCAGACUACAGAGGAAAGACUUGCAAUGGAUCUUCAACAUGAUGCAAAUAAAUCUGGUCAGGCGUGGAUCUUCAUAGGACAGCUCAGGUGAUGCAGUUAGGCGUAGGUCUUCAUAAGGCAUGUAGUAUUGUCGGUUGUAGAAUUGUCUAUGUAAUCUUUCCUAUAUCAUAAUUGUAAGAUCGUAAUAAAUCAGCGUUAAAAAAAAAGACGAUAACAUAACCAUUGAUCUGA